This is a long non-coding RNA of Fukomys damarensis (Damara mole-rat), 500 nucleotides long. RefSeq lists it as uncharacterized. The record is from RefSeq and is a predicted model, not a curated record. The transcript has 3 exons. Lineage: Eukaryota; Metazoa; Chordata; Mammalia; Rodentia; Bathyergidae.
CAAGCAACGUGAGGCACACUGCGAAGAUAACAAGCACCGCCGAGAGCUUCAGUCCAAGUGGUGGCACGUUUGCUUUCUUCUCACAGCUGAUAGACAAGGACUGCGCUGCAGCAACACCUCCGUCACUUUCUGACCCUCUUCAGAAGCUUUUAUUCAUGUGCUUGAGUCUGCAAAAUCUAACGCUUUUUUUGCUUCCUUUUUCUGAAAAAAACUUCAAGGGAAGCCUGAUUUUCCUGGAUGGACUGCCCGUUACUUUCACUCGUCACGCGUGAUACAUCAGUGCAGGCUGCCUUGAACUCACUACACCCAAGCUGGCCUCCGACUCUGAGCGACCUCCUUGCCCGGCGUCCCAGACUCUGGGAUUACAGGAGUUGCCCAGACUGCAGAGAAACACUGGUACCAGCUCCACAAGCUUCCCUGGCUUCCUUUUUUUCUCCGUCCUCCUAAAGAUAUUCUGCCCUGUUAUCAGCCAAGAAACAUUCACAGUAAGUAAAACUCCC